RNAcentral lists this ribosomal RNA (491 nucleotides) under uncultured bacterium. RNAcentral describes it as "partial 16S ribosomal RNA". It matches the Rfam family "Bacterial small subunit ribosomal RNA", at positions 28 to 506 of the family's 1533-position model. The record is from RNAcentral.
GAUGAACGCUAGCUACAGGCUUAACACAUGCAAGUCGAGGGGAAACGCCAUCGAAAGCUUGCUUUUGAUGGGCGUCGACCGGCGCACGGGUGAGUAACGCGUAUCCAACCUGCCCAUCACUUGGGAAUAACCUUGCGGAAGUAAGACUAAUACCCAAUGACAUCCCACGAAGACAUCUGAAUGGGAUUAAAGAUUUAUCGGUGAUGGAUGGGGAGGCGUCUGAUUAGCUUGUUGGCGUGGUAACGGCCCACCAAGGCAACGAUCAGUAGGGGUUCUGAGAGGAAGGUCCCCAGCAUUGGAACUGAGACAAGGUCCAAACUCCUACGGGAAGCAGCAGUGAGGAAUAUUGGUCAAUGGGCGAGAGCCAGAACCAGCCAAGUAGCGUGGAGGAUGACGGCCCUAUGAGUUGUAAUCUGCUUUUAUAAGGGAAUAAAGUGGGUCUCGUGAGACUUUUUGCAUGUACCUUAUGAAUAAGGACCGGCUAAUUCCGU